This 1479-nucleotide ribosomal RNA is filed under the name uncultured bacterium. RNAcentral's name for it is "bacterial SSU rRNA". It matches the Rfam family "Bacterial small subunit ribosomal RNA". The record is from RNAcentral.
AGAGUUUGAUCCUGGCUCAGGAUGAACGCUAGCGGGAGGCCUAACACAUGCAAGUCGAACGGGAUUGAGAGCUUGCUCUCAUGAGAGUGGCGCACGGGUGAGUAACGCGUAUGCAACCUGCCUUUAACAGAGGGAUAGCCCAUAGAAAUGUGGAUUAAUACCUCAUAGUUCUUUUGAGCCGCAUGGUAUAAAAGAUAAAGCUCCGGUGGUUAAAGAUGGGCAUGCGUGACAUUAGCUAGUUGGUGAGGUAACGGCUCACCAAGGCGACGAUGUCUAGGGGUUCUGAGAGGAUGAUCCCCCACACUGGUACUGAGACACGGACCAGACUCCUACGGGAGGCAGCAGUGAGGAAUAUUGGUCAAUGGGCGCAAGCCUGAACCAGCCAUCCCGCGUGCAGGAUGACGGCCCUAUGGGUUGUAAACUGCUUUUAUGCACCAAGAAAAAGAAGGACGUGUCCUUCCCUGACGGUAGUGCAUGAAUAAGCAUCGGCUAACUCCGUGCCAGCAGCCGCGGUAAUACGGAGGAUGCAAGCGUUAUCCGGAUUCAUUGGGUUUAAAGGGUGCGUAGGCGGCUUUUUAAGUCAGUGGUGAAAUCUUGCCGCUUAACGGUAAAAUUGCCAUUGAUACUGACAGGCUUGAGUACAGUUGAGGUAAGCGGAAUGUGUAGUGUAGCGGUGAAAUGCUUAGAUAUUACACAGAACACCGAUUGCGAAGGCAGCUUACCAAACUGUUACUGACGCUAAUGCACGAAAGCGUGGGGAGCGAACAGGAUUAGAUACCCUGGUAGUCCACGCCGUAAACGAUGCUCACUCGCUGUAUGCGAUACACAGUAUGCGGCCAAGCGAAAGCAUUAAGUGAGCCACCUGGGGAGUACGAUCGCAAGGUUGAAACUCAAAGGAAUUGACGGGGGCCCGCACAAGCGGAGGAACAUGUGGUUUAAUUCGAUGAUACGCGAGGAACCUUACCUGGGCUUAAAUGUAGAGCGACAGAUUGUGAAAGCAGUCCUUCUUCGGACGAUCUACAAGGUGCUGCAUGGUUGUCGUCAGCUCGUGCCGUGAGGUGUCGGGUUAAGUCCCAUAACGAGCGCAACCCUUAUCGUUAGUUGCCAGCGGGUCAAGCCGGGGACUCUAGCGAGACUGCCACCGUAAGGUGAGAGGAAGGUGGGGAUGACGUCAAAUCAGCACGGCCCUUAUGUCCAGGGCUACACACGUGCUACAAUGGCCGGUACAGAGAGCAGCAAAGCCGCAAGGAGGAGCCAAUCUCAUAAAACCGCCCUCAGUUCGGAUUGGAGUCUGCAACUCGACUCCGUGAAGGCGGAAUCGCUAGUAAUCGUGGAUCAGAAUGUCACGGUGAAUACGUUCCCGGGUCUUGUACACACCGCCCGUCACACCAUGGGAGCGGGUUCUGCCAGAAGUAGUUAGCCUAACCGCAAGGAGGGCGAUUACCACGGCAGGGUUCGUGACUGGGGUGAAGUCGUAAC